UGGGGAAUAUUGCACAAUGGAGGGAACUCUGAUGCAGCAACGCCGCGUGCGGGAUGACGGCCUUCGGGUUGUAAACCGCUUUCAGCCAUGACGAAGCUUUUGUGACGGUAGUGGUAGAAGAAGCACCGGCUAACUACGUGCCAGCAGCCGCGGUGAUACGUAGGGUGCGAGCGUUGUCCGGAAUUAUUGGGCGUAAAGAGCUUGUAGGCGGUUUGUCGCGUCGAUAGUUUAAACACGCAGCUUAACUGUGUGCCUGCUGUCGAUACGGGCUGACUAGAGGAGGGUAGGGGAGAAUGGAAUUCCCGGUGGAGCGGUGGAAUGCGCAGAUAUCGGGAGGAACACCAGUGGCGAAGGCGGUUCUCUGGACCUUUCCUGACGCUGAGAAGCGAAAGCGUGGGUAGCAAACAGG
RNAcentral lists this ribosomal RNA (409 nucleotides) under Fusobacteriota bacterium. RNAcentral describes it as "Fusobacteria bacterium partial 16S ribosomal RNA". It matches the Rfam family "Bacterial small subunit ribosomal RNA", at positions 355 to 776 of the family's 1533-position model. The record is from RNAcentral. Lineage: Bacteria; Fusobacteriati; Fusobacteriota.